This 515-nucleotide ribosomal RNA is filed under the name uncultured bacterium. RNAcentral describes it as "bacterial SSU rRNA". It matches the Rfam family "Bacterial small subunit ribosomal RNA", at positions 798 to 1317 of the family's 1533-position model. The record is from RNAcentral.
CACGGUAAACGAUGGAUGCCCGCUGUAUGCGAUAUAGUGUAUGCGGCCAAGCGAAAGCGUUAAGCAUCCCACCUGGGGAGUACGCCGGCAACGGUGAAACUCAAAGGAAUUGACGGGGGCCCGCACAAGCGGAGGAACAUGUGGUUUAAUUCGAUGAUACGCGAGGAACCUUACCCGGGCUUGAACUGCAACCGAACGAUGGAGAGAUCCUGAGGCCCUUCGGGGCGGUUGUGGAGGUGCUGCAUGGUUGUCGUCAGCUCGUGCCGUGAGGUGUCGGCUUAAGUGCCAUAACGAGCGCAACCCCUGCCUAUAGUUGCCAUCAGGUCAUGCUGGGCACUCUGUGGGGACUGCCACCGUAAGGUGUGAGGAAGGUGGGGAUGACGUCAAAUCAGCACGGCCCUUACGUCCGGGGCUACACACGUGUUACAAUGGGUGGUACAGCGAGUAGGCCGUCUGCAAAUGCGGUCGAAUCAUGAAAGCCUCCCUCAGUUCGGAUUGGGGUCUGCAACCCGACC